Molecule: ribosomal RNA, 310 nt
Filed under: Parvilacerta parva
Lineage: Eukaryota; Metazoa; Chordata; Lepidosauria; Squamata; Lacertidae
Description: partial 12S ribosomal RNA
Rfam family: Bacterial small subunit ribosomal RNA
Source: RNAcentral
CCGCCAGAGGACUACAAGUGAAAAUCUUAAAACUUAAAGGACUUGACGGUGUCCCAUAUCGCCCUAGAGGAGCCUGUCCUAUAAUCGAUAAUCCCCGUUCCACCCAACCUCAACUAGUAAACAUAACAGCCUAUAUACCGCCGUCGACAGCCUACCCUAUGAAGGUCAAAUAGUAGACACAACAGCCCCCCGCUAGCACGUCAGGUCAAGGUGUAGCAAAUGUUGAGGAAGAGAUUGGCUACAUUUUUUAUUAUAAAAAAUACGAAAUGUUCUAUGAAAUAGAACAUGAAGGUGAAUUUAGUAGUAAAAU